ACUCCUACGGGAGGCAGCAGUAAGGAAUAUUGGGCAAUGGUCGGAAGACUGACCCAGCCAUGCCGCGUGCAGGAAGAAGGCCCUAUGGGUUGUAAACUGCUUUAGCCAGGGGCUAAACCUACCGAUGCGUUGGUAGCUGAAGGUACCUGGAGAAUAAGCAUCGGCUAACUCCGUGCCAGCAGCCGCGGUAAUACGGAGGAUGCGAGCGUUAUCCGGAUUUACUGGGUUUAAAGGGUGCGCAGGCGGUUGUUUAAGUCAGGGGUGAAAGCCCUAUGCUCAACAUAGGGAUUGCCUUUGAUACUGAACGGCUAGAGUGAAGAUGGAGUGGGUGGAAUGUGUUGUGUAGCGGUGAAAUGCAUAGAUAUAACACAGAACACCGAUCGCGAAGGCAGCUCACUAAUUUUCAACUGACGCUCAUGCACGAAAGCGUGGGGAGCAAACAGGAUUAGAUACCCUGGUAGUC
This 463-nucleotide ribosomal RNA is filed under the name uncultured bacterium. RNAcentral's name for it is "bacterial SSU rRNA". It matches the Rfam family "Bacterial small subunit ribosomal RNA", at positions 335 to 795 of the family's 1533-position model. The record is from RNAcentral.